RNAcentral lists this ribosomal RNA (464 nucleotides) under Vreelandella stevensii. RNAcentral's name for it is "partial 16S ribosomal RNA". It matches the Rfam family "Bacterial small subunit ribosomal RNA", at positions 338 to 795 of the family's 1533-position model. The record is from RNAcentral. Lineage: Bacteria; Pseudomonadati; Pseudomonadota; Gammaproteobacteria; Oceanospirillales; Halomonadaceae.
CCUACGGGGGCAGCAGUGGGGAAUAUUGGACAAUGGGCGAAAGCCUGAUCCAGCCAUGCCGCGUGUGUGAAGAAGGCCUUCGGGUUGUAAAGCACUUUCAGUGGGGAAGAAAGCCUUGGGGCUAAUACCCUCGAGGAAGGACAUCACCCACAGAAGAAGCACCGGCUAACUCCGUGCCAGCAGCCGCGGUAAUACGGAGGGUGCGAGCGUUAAUCGGAAUUACUGGGCGUAAAGCGCGCGUAGGCGGUCUGAUAAGCCGGUUGUGAAAGCCCCGGGCUCAACCUGGGAACGGCAUCCGGAACUGUCAGGCUAGAGUGCAGGAGAGGAAGGUAGAAUUCCCGGUGUAGCGGUGAAAUGCGUAGAGAUCGGGAGGAAUACCAGUGGCGAAGGCGGCCUUCUGGACUGACACUGACGCUGAGGUGCGAAAGCGUGGGUAGCAAACAGGAUUAGAUACCCCUGUAGUC